This 394-nucleotide ribosomal RNA is filed under the name uncultured bacterium. RNAcentral describes it as "bacterial SSU rRNA". It matches the Rfam family "Bacterial small subunit ribosomal RNA", at positions 975 to 1368 of the family's 1533-position model. The record is from RNAcentral.
CUGGGUUUGACAUGCACAGGACGUGCCUAGAGAUAGGUAUUCCCUUGUGGUCUGUGUGCAGGUGGUGCAUGGCUGUCGUCAGCUCGUGUCGUGAGAUGUUGGGUUAAGUCCCGCAACGAGCGCAACCCUUGUCUCAUGUUGCCAGCACGUUAUGGUGGGGACUCGUGAGAGACUGCCGGGGUCAACUCGGAGGAAGGUGGGGAUGACGUCAAGUCAUCAUGCCCCUUAUGUCCAGGGCUUCACACAUGCUACAAUGGCCGGUACAAAGGGCUGCGAUGCCGUGAGGUGGAGCGAAUCCUUUCAAAGCCGGUCUCAGUUCGGAUCGGGGUCUGCAACUCGACCCCGUGAAGUCGGAGUCGCUAGUAAUCGCAGAUCAGCAACGCUGCGGUGAAUA